RNAcentral lists this long non-coding RNA (429 nucleotides) under Felis catus (domestic cat). Its description in RNAcentral is "lncRNA (ENSFCAG00000051080.1)". Lineage: Eukaryota; Metazoa; Chordata; Mammalia; Carnivora; Felidae. The record is from RNAcentral.
GUCGGAGGCCCCAAACCUCAGCCCGUGACCCCUCAUUGGAGCCUGUCUGCCUAGAACUUCUUCACCCCAUUCCUGUUCGGGGACAUGAAAGAGGAAAGAGGAAAAGAAAUCAAAACGACACAUGUUCCGGAAAGGCCAGAUUAAACCCCACAGGGGUAGCGUGGGCCAGGACAAGAAGGAAUUUCCGUGACCUUGGAGCCCAUGGACUCAAAUGUCUGACCCAUUUUUUUCCAAGGCUCUUCGCUCCGUGUGCUCACUGAUUAAGAAAAGAAACCUCAGGAGGGUUAAGCAAUGUGCCCGGGGUCACAGAUGCUGAUGCCGGCUCCGUCCGGGCCCCAAGUGGACUCUCUCUCCCGACCUGUUAAUAUCAUCCAGACGCAUUAGUAACGGCCACAUGCCGGAAGUCAGGAGUUCGGACCUUUUGCUCAG